This 73-nucleotide transfer RNA is filed under the name Parcubacteria group bacterium SW_4_46_8. RNAcentral's name for it is "tRNA-Arg". It matches the Rfam family "tRNA". Rfam says of the family: Transfer RNA (tRNA) molecules are approximately 80 nucleotides in length. Their secondary structure includes four short double-helical elements and three loops (D, anti-codon, and T loops). The record is from RNAcentral.
GCCCUUAUAGUUUAAUUGGAUAAAACAGGUCCCUCCUAAGGACCAGCUCCAGGUUCAACUCCUGGUGAGGGCA